Molecule: long non-coding RNA, 272 nt
Filed under: Chrysemys picta bellii (western painted turtle)
Lineage: Eukaryota; Metazoa; Chordata; Testudines; Emydidae
Description: lncRNA (ENSCPBG00000010239.1)
Source: RNAcentral
CAACCCUACAAUAACGCGUCCUGCCUGGGUGAGUAAGAGCGAGAAUGAAAGCAGGGUGCCAGAUGCAGUAAAUCUGAGUUUCCAACUUCCAGGUAAGGGGAGCUGUCUGAAAGACGACCGAGGGCAUCCAGCUGGCUGUUGGAUGGCUGGAGAAACUCAUCAGGAGGCAGGUCCUUCCCCCUUCUAAAAAGCGAUCCAAGAAAGUGAGAUAUCUUCUUCUGGUGGAGGUGUUUAGGCUGAAGUAUCUGAUUUGAGGGGGGAUCUCUAAUCCA